UCCUACGGGGGGCAGCAGUGAGGAAUAUUGGUCAAUGGGCGCAAGCCUGAACCAGCCAUCCCGCGUGCAGGAAGACGGCGCUAUGCGUUGUAAACUGCUUUUCCAGGGGGAGAAACUUGCGCACGUGUUGCGCAAUUGACGGUACCCUGGGAAUAAGCAUCGGCUAACUCCGUGCCAGCAGCCGCGGUAAUACGGAGGAUGCAAGCGUUAUCCGGAUUCAUUGGGUUUAAAGGGUGCGUAGGCGGACUAUUAAGUCAGUGGUGAAAUCCUGCAGCUUAACUGCAGAACUGCCAUUGAUACUGAUAGCCUUGAGUUUGGUUAAGGUAGGCGGAAUGUGUAAUGUAGCGGUGAAAUGCUUAGAUAUUACACAGAACACCAAUUGCGUAGGCAGCUUACUGAGCCGACACUGACGCUGAGGCACGAAAGCGUGGGGAUCAAACAGGAAUAGAUACCCGGGUAGUC
Molecule: ribosomal RNA, 462 nt
Filed under: uncultured Bacteroidales bacterium
Lineage: Bacteria; Pseudomonadati; Bacteroidota; Bacteroidia; Bacteroidales
Description: bacterial SSU rRNA
Rfam family: Bacterial small subunit ribosomal RNA
Source: RNAcentral